GAUGAACGCUGGCGGCGUGCCUAAUACAUGCAAGUCGAGCGAACGGACGAGAAGCUUGCUUCUCUGAUGUUAGCGGCGGACGGGUGAGUAACACGUGGAUAACCUACCUAUAAGACUGGGAUAACUUCGGGAAACCGGAGCUAAUACCGGAUAAUAUUUUGAACCGCAUGGUUCAAAAGUGAAAGACGGUCUUGCUGUCACUUAUAGAUGGAUCCGCGCUGCAUUAGCUAGUUGGUAAGGUAACGGCUUACCGAGGCAACGAUGCAUAGCCGACCUGAGAGGGUGAUCGGCCACACUGGAACUGAGACACGGUCCAGACUCCUACGGGAGGCAGCAGUAGGGAAUCUUCCGCAAUAGGCGAAAGCCUGACGGAGCAACGCCGCGUGAGUGAUGAAGGUCUUCGGAUCGUAAAACUCUGUUAUUAGGGAAGAACAUAUGUGUAAGUAACUGUGCACAUCUUGACGGUACCUAAUCAGAAAGCCACGGCUAACUACGUG
This 497-nucleotide ribosomal RNA is filed under the name uncultured bacterium. RNAcentral's name for it is "partial 16S ribosomal RNA". It matches the Rfam family "Bacterial small subunit ribosomal RNA", at positions 28 to 507 of the family's 1533-position model. The record is from RNAcentral.